This 253-nucleotide ribosomal RNA is filed under the name uncultured bacterium. Its description in RNAcentral is "partial 16S ribosomal RNA". It matches the Rfam family "Bacterial small subunit ribosomal RNA", at positions 524 to 776 of the family's 1533-position model. The record is from RNAcentral.
GACAGAGGGUGCAAGCGUUGUUCGGAAUUACUGGGCGUAAAGCGCGUGUAGGCGGCUAAGUAAGUCGGGCGUGAAAUCCCACGGCUCAACCGUGGAAGUGCACUCGAAACUGCAUAGCUAGAGUCCUGGAGAGGAAGGUGGAAUGCUUGGUGUAGAGGUGAAAUUCGUAGAUAUCAAGCGGAACACCGGUGGCGAAGGCGGCCUUCUGGACAGUGACUGACGCUGAGACGCGAAAGCGUGGGGGGCAAACAGG